This 467-nucleotide ribosomal RNA is filed under the name uncultured bacterium. Its description in RNAcentral is "partial 16S ribosomal RNA". It matches the Rfam family "Bacterial small subunit ribosomal RNA", at positions 28 to 507 of the family's 1533-position model. The record is from RNAcentral.
GACGAACGCUGGCGGCGUGCUUAACACAUGCAAGUCGAACGGAAAGGCCUCUUUCGGGGGGUACUCGAGUGGCGAACGGGUGAGUAACACGUGAGUAACCUGCCCUUGACUUUGGGAUAACUUCAGGAAACUGGGGCUAAUACCGGAUAGGAGCUCCUGCUGCAUGGUGGGGGUUGGAAAGUUUCGGCGGUUGGGGAUGGACUCGCGGCUUAUCAGCUUGUUGGUGGGGUAGUGGCUUACCAAGGCUUUGACGGGUAGCCGGCCUGAGAGGGUGACCGGCCACAUUGGGACUGAGAUACGGCCCAGACUCCUACGGGAGGCAGCAGUGGAGAAUAUUGCACAAUGGGUGGAGGCCUGAUGCAGCAACGCCGUGUGGGGGAUGACGGCCUUCGGGUUGUAAACCGCUUUCGCUCAUGACGAAGCUUUGUGUGACGGUAGUGGGUAAAGAAGCACCGGCUAACUACGUG